AGAGUUGAUCCUGGCUCAGGAUGAACGCUAGCGGCAGGCUAACACAUGCAAGUCGAGGGGUAACAGGGCGUAGCAAUACGCCGCUGACGACCGGCGCACGGGUGCGUAACGCGUAUACAACCUACCUGUAACAGGGGGAUAACGGAGUGAAAACUCCACUAAUACCCCAUAUUGACGAGUCUUCGCAUGGUGAUUCGUCGAAAGCUUCGGUGGUUACGGAUGGGUAUGCGUGACACUAGGUAGUUGGCGGGGCAACGGCCCACCAAGCCGACGAUGUCUAGGGGAGCUGAGAGGCUAGUCCCCCCACACUGGUACUGAGACACGGACCAGACUCCUACGGGAGGCAGCAGUGAGGAAUAUUGGUCAAUGGACGGAGGUCUGAACCAGCCAUGCCGCCGUGAGGGAAGAAGGUCCUAUGGGUUGUAAACCUCUUUUGCUCCGGAGCAAUAAGGCGGAUGCGUCCGCCGACGAGAGUACGGGGCGAAUAAGCAUCGGCUAACUCCGUGCCAGCCGCCGC
RNAcentral lists this ribosomal RNA (517 nucleotides) under uncultured bacterium. RNAcentral describes it as "bacterial SSU rRNA". It matches the Rfam family "Bacterial small subunit ribosomal RNA", at positions 8 to 518 of the family's 1533-position model. The record is from RNAcentral.